This 303-nucleotide ribosomal RNA is filed under the name uncultured bacterium. Its description in RNAcentral is "bacterial SSU rRNA". It matches the Rfam family "Bacterial small subunit ribosomal RNA", at positions 28 to 327 of the family's 1533-position model. The record is from RNAcentral.
GACGAACGCUGGCGGCGUGCUUAACACAUGCAAGUCGAGCGGUAAGGCCCUUUCGGGGGUACGACGAGCGGCGAACGGGUGAGUAACACGUGGGUGACCUGCCCUCAGCUCUGGGAGUAAGCCUGGGAAACGUGGGUCGUAAUACCGGAUAUGACUCCAUGACGCAUGUUGUGGGGUGGAAAGCCUUGUGCGGCUGAGGAUGGGCCCGCGGCCUAUCAGCUUGUUGGUGGGGUGANGGCCUACCCAAGGCGACGACGGGUAGCCGGCCUGAGAGGGCGACCGGCCACACUGGGACUGAGACAC